UACGUAGGGUGCGAGCGUUAAUCGGAAUUACUGGGCGUAAAGCGCGCGUAGGCGGCUUAACAAGUCACUUGUGAAAUCUCCGGGCUUAACUCGGAACGGCCAAGUGAAACUGUCAAGCUAGAGUGCAGAAGGGGCAAUCGGAAUUCUUGGUGUAGCGGUGAAAUGCGUAGAUAUCAAGAGGAACACCUGAGGUGAAGACGGGUUGCUGGGCUGACACUGACGCUGAGGCGCGAAAGCCAGGGGAGCAAACGGG
RNAcentral lists this ribosomal RNA (253 nucleotides) under uncultured bacterium. RNAcentral's name for it is "partial 16S ribosomal RNA". It matches the Rfam family "Bacterial small subunit ribosomal RNA", at positions 524 to 776 of the family's 1533-position model. The record is from RNAcentral.